UUCUUUUAUUAAUUUCAACUUUUUUCUAUAUAUAUUUCUGGAUUUUAAGAUAUAGAUAACUAGUCUAGGCUUUUAUUUCUCCAUCGUUGCUUAUUUGUUCUUGUGGUGAUCUUUUUUCAAAUGAAAAGCACAAAAUCAGUAGAGAUAUUUACCAAAAUAAUAAGGAUUUUUCCAAAAAAAAUAAACAAGUAAGAAUCUGUUAAUCUUCAAUUAAGCAAAAGAAGACAAAUAAUCAACCUAAGAAAAAAAUGAACAAAGCAGACAUGGAUAGUUUUCCUUAACUUGUAAAUGAUACAUUUUCAUACUAAACCUAAAUGCAAUUUGACAGCCCGCCUCAGUACUUGUUAGGUUAUUUCAGGGUCUUACCAGCAUUUGAACGACAAGACAAAUGUCCUCUAAUAAAUGCAACAAUUGAAGAAAAUAAUGCUUUUAUAUAUGGUUGUAACUAAUCUCUCCAUAACUUGUGUAGGAGUCUUCCGUUGUUAGUAGACGAGAAAGACGAGCGAGGGAGAAACAGAUAGUCUCCAUGGCUUCACCAAGUAUGUUGUUGAUGAUGAUUAUAUUUUCACGACGGAAAAGAUGGAAAAGCUCCUUCUAGUGUUGAUAGUUUUAUAUGAAUAAAUUUUCAGGUGGAAAGCUCUAAUCUUAAAAAUUGAAUUACCAUCUUGUCCCUCUACUAAAUUAAGAAUUUAAUUAAAUAAUAGUAUUUUUAUUAUCUAAAGAUUGAAUUAUAUAAAAUAAUAAAAAAAAUACAUCCAUAAAUACAUCUUCCUCAUAUUAAAAAAAUGUAAUUGACCUAAAUUUAGAAUGAACAAUUGUCAUCCAAAAAUAGAAAGGAGAAACACCCUAGAUAGGAACGCUUUCUCUCGUAAGGAAGUUUUCAAACAAAGUAAAAAUUCAAAGUUCCUCUUUCUCCUAUAAAGAUCGUGAUUUUUUGAAUGAACAAGAAUGAAUCACAGUUUGGUCCUAAAGGAGGUAACAAAAAAACCCGACUUAACAAAAUAUAAUUGAAUUGGUUGGAAAAUAAAUAAUGAAUAUUUAAUACUAAUUUUAUAAAAACUAAUAUGUUCAUGUGUAAUUUUACCAUUCCCUUGUAUUGCUAGCACAUAACCUUCUCUUCCGUGAACUUCAUCAAAAUAAUAGAGUAGUGUCAACAUGAGCAAAUAAUUUGCUACACACUCGAUGUAAUUAAAUUAUUAUAAAACAUCGUUAUGUUUCUCGUAACUAAACUGAAUUAAUAUAUGAUUCAGCUUACUUAAGAGAAAAAAUAAUAUAUACUAAUACUAAUUUAAUUACAUGUCAAGUGUGUGGCAAAAUAUGUCUUUAUGUAGUACAACACAAUACUUUAUCAUUUUGAUCAAGUUUACGGAAGACAAUGUUAUAUGUUAACAAUACAACGAAAUGUUUUAAAAUCAUGAAUGAAUAUGUUAGUUUAUAUAGUAUUAUUAUUUGAUAUUUAUUAUUUAUUCGCUGACAAAUUUAAAUUUGCGUUAAGUCAACUUUAUUUUGUUACCCCUUUAGGACCUUCUAUAAUUCAUUUUAGUUCAAUCAGAAAAUCACCAUAUUAAUAAGAGGACCUUUGAAUUUAUAGUUUGUUUAAGAAAUUUAUUUCAAGGUAAAGCGCUUCUAUAGAGGUGUUUCUCCCUUCUAAUUUUUGAUGGCAGUUCAUUAUAAAUUAAGGCAAAUCAACUUUUUUAUAUAUAUGAGGAAGACGAACUUUGAUACAUUAGUUUAAGUAAAACUUCCUUAACAGGAUAACGAUCUAACCAAAGUGAAAUAAAAAGUUAUGUAGGAGUUGUUCGCUGGUAGCAUAGUUAUGAUGCUCAGCUACCCCCAAGAUGCGUACCCGACUAAAGAUCACAAGUGAUCCCAAGCUAACUUUGUUGGCAUACAUCAACAUACUAUGAUAAUUUAAAUGAAAUAAUACUGAGCGUAAGCUUUAUGAAAAAUGAAAUUGAUUGGGAAUACCUAUUCUAAAACUGAAUAUAUAAGAAAACUAAGAGUUUUAACACAACUUAAAGUCAAGCUCAAAUGAAAUAAAGCUAAAUCUAGUUAUGUCUGAAAUAAGCCUAACUGACUAGAAAUGCUAGGACAUGCCCCAGCUAGAUUGAAACUAAAAAUUAAAAACGAAGGGAAAUAAUCAUGUCACGUGUCCUCGAAGGAUGAGGACUCACCACUGUAACUGUUGAACUGAAGAUCGGAAACCGUUCUAAACGUGAUCUGGAAGCUUAAAACGUGAACCUACAUCACUAGAAGAUGUAGCGCAGAGUAUGUGUUAAUACUUGAAACGUCAAGCACAUCGAUAUGUGGUGUUCACUUGUCCACAAGGCAUGCCAUUCGUUGAGUGAGUAUUUAUGGCAAA
Molecule: non-coding RNA, 2362 nt
Organism: Solanum lycopersicum (tomato)
Lineage: Eukaryota; Viridiplantae; Streptophyta; Magnoliopsida; Solanales; Solanaceae
Source: RefSeq, a predicted model, not a curated record